AGAGUUUGAUCCUGGCUCAGGAUAAACGCUGGCGGCGUGCCUAAGGUAUGCAAGUCGAACGGGAACUACAUGUAGCAAUACGUGCUAGUUCUAGUGGCAAACGGGUGAGUAAUGCGUAGAUAAUCUACCCUUAACAUUGGGAUAACUUUGCGAAAGCAGAGAUAAUACCAUGUGUGGUGUAUGGGUGAAAUUCCUAUACA
Molecule: ribosomal RNA, 200 nt
Filed under: uncultured bacterium
Lineage: Bacteria
Description: partial 16S ribosomal RNA
Rfam family: Bacterial small subunit ribosomal RNA
Source: RNAcentral